ACACGACUACAUUAGAUACCCGUGUAGUCCUAGCCGUAAACGAUACUCGCUAGGUGUCGGCCACGGUGCGACCGUUGUCGGUGCCGUAGGGAAGCCGUGAAGCGAGCCACCUGGGAAGUACGGCCGCAAGGCUGAAACUUAAAGGAAUUGGCGGGGAGCGCCACAACGGGUGGAGCUUGCGGUUUAAUUGGAUUCAACGCCGGAAAUCUUACCGGGACCGACAGCAACAUGAAGGCCAGGCUGAAGACUUUGCCGGAUUAGCUG
This 264-nucleotide ribosomal RNA is filed under the name uncultured archaeon. RNAcentral's name for it is "partial 16S ribosomal RNA". It matches the Rfam family "Archaeal small subunit ribosomal RNA", at positions 719 to 982 of the family's 1478-position model. The record is from RNAcentral.